RNAcentral lists this long non-coding RNA (2171 nucleotides) under Brassica rapa (field mustard). RNAcentral's name for it is "long non-coding RNA (BRAP_LNC001831)". The record is from RNAcentral. Lineage: Eukaryota; Viridiplantae; Streptophyta; Magnoliopsida; Brassicales; Brassicaceae.
GGCCACAUAUGCAUAUAGUACUUUUGUCUCGUUUCGGUCCGCUUAAGUUAUCAAGAUUGACAUAGGCGUUAUUGAAGGAGAGGAGGAGCCUUGGCUUACAUCAAGUGAAGCGCUUUAUAAUAUCAUAGUAAGUUCUUGAGGAGUUAGGAAGCUGCAGGUGAUUUUGUAAAGAGACUUCAGGAAAUGGUGUCAACAGAAGUUCAAUGAGAAUUGAAACAGAAGAUUAUUACUCAUGUAAAAUGUACUCAGCUGCAACAAUGGCGUUUAUUAUGGAACUGAAAUUCACUCGAGUAACAUUAUGGAACUUAAUAAAUCAUUUAAAUUCACUCGAGUAACAUUAUGCAGCUACCAAGGCACCAGUAACAGCUGCAGUUGUAGCACCAACAUGAUCUGUUCUGUGAUUCUUUUUAUUAUUUUGGAGAAUUUUUAUGACCGAUGCAAACAAACACGGUCAUGGCUAUUAAGGAGAACGUGGCUGCAACCGCUAAUACCCCCUAACUAAACCCGAGCCACCGGUUCCACCGUCGCUCAAAAUUUCUCGCCAUAACUUCUUGUGUAUUUUGCCUAAGUUUGAGGUUUUAGAUUUGGUUUUGGGUGAGAAUUUAUAUGCUUUUGGAUGUAAUGAGAGUGAAUAACAAUGUUUCCAGAUAAUUCUUUGAAUGGAUUGUGUUGGCUUACGUGACGUGUGUGUGUUUACUAUAUGAUCUAAAUCGAGAAGUUUCUUUGAUGUCUACUUUUUAACGUGUUAUAACAUUUGAUUCAGUUUAAGGGAUGCUUAAGUCUUUGGAUUUAGCACAUGGACGAUGGUUUUCGUAUUUUCAAUUAACAUAUUUUGGUUACUAACUUGUUAUUAGGAUUUAAUUAACAUGCAUGAAAAAUAAAAGUAUCAAUUUACACACAAAAAUGCAUAAGUUGAGUCUUAGUUUCAAUAAUGCUUUUAUGUAUAUAUAUGUUGACAUCUUGCAGUUGUAUAGAAAACCCAAUUUCUAUACGUGGGUGAUUUUCUUAUUGAUAUAUUUGUUAGAUUAGCAGCAAGUUAUAUAGGUAAAUUAUGUGUAAUUUGGUUGCUAAAUUAAAAUAGUCACAAUCCGUAAAGACUGUAGGUAGAUUUCAUUUUAUAAACCAAACUUUUUCGAAAUAAUCUGGAUAAUGUAUGCAGCUCAUUUUUUCCUCCUCGCAGUUACUUUCAUACAGUGUCCUGCAUUUGAUUCCAAGUGAACGUUAUGAGAUUACCAUUACCUUAUUUUCAACUUGAUUCAACCAUGCGCAAUGGAGCAUGAUUCGAGACUUUAUUGUGUCUUUUAGACAAAAUAAUUUUUCCUUUUCAAUAAAAAAAACUUGAUCAACCAGGAGACUCAAACCAGAUUUCUAGAUAAGCAGGUGGACGGUAUCGAAUGUUUUCAUGCAAUAUCAACCGUAAUUAAAUUCUACAAAAAUAUCAAUACGAGAUAUAUAACAGAUUUUGUGAAGGUUUAGAAACUAGUAUUUGUGUUUUUUUUUAUUGAAACGUUAGAAACUAGCCUAUCCCUCAAAGUUUAUUGAAGAAUUCACUCGAGCUAAAACUGUGGAAACGAAUACAGAAUUGAAGUUAAUAUCAAAAUUCUAUUAUUAAUGAAAUUUAUUAAUUGUAGGAAUAAUAAGGGAAACGAUUACAGUAUUUAUAUUUAAGCCUGAUGCUAAACAGAUUGAGUAAGUCUUUCCAUAUGGAUUUUUCUUUUUUUUUUUCCAAAUCUAUAACUUACAUGACUUAUAAUUUUUAUACGCUUUAACAACCGGUUGGAAUUGAAGGAACAGACGCCUGAGAAGCAUAGACUCCAGCACCAGGUCCAGUUCUGUGUUCCUUUUCAUUAUCUGAAGAUUUUUUGUCACCACAAACAAAUACGGCCAUGGCUAUUACGGAGAAGGUGGCUGCAACCACUACAAACCCCCAAACUAAACCCAAUCCACCGGCUCCACCGUCGCUCAAAAAGCUUCUCGCCAUAACUAUUGUGUAUAUUAUUGACUAAGUUUGAGGUUUCAGAAUCGGUUUUGGGUGAGAAUUUAUAGGCUUAUAGUUUUAGAUGUGAGGAGUGACAUAGUUUUUCUAAAUAAUUUUGAAUGGACAAUAUUGCUUUACAUGACGUCUAUAUGCUUACGUAAUGCGUUUCUAAAUCCAGAAGUUCUUUGGUGGC